GCACCCUACGUAUGACGUCACGUCCUUCGAACGUGACGCCCGAGCCCACCUCCUCCUUCUCAGCACCCUAUAUAAAGCCCCCACAGCAACUAGGAACUGGCGUGCAGCACAGGCUACACCCCCCAGGACACACGAUAUUCCUUCUUCGCAGAGGCCUCCAACUCUCUGGCUUGUCCUCUAUUGGACACUGCAGUGUGGUUGCCCAGCAUGUGGAUUUAAUUUCCACCCUGGCUCCUCUCCCCUGCUCUGUGCCUCAUUGGUCCCAGUCUGGAUUGGGUCUCUUUUCACUUCAGAAUUUAUUUAUGUAAUCUUCAUACAUCAUGGCCUGCCGCCAACCAUAGGAAAUCUUAUUUUUUCUUUUCCUAUUAGGCCGUCUUGAGUUUUAUCUCACAAGCUAUAUAUCUCCUAUACACCUGCGGUCCCAUUUGGGUUUUUCGAUGCACGUGGAUGGCUAGCAGUCUUACUGGUAUUGUUUUGAGAUUCUUUUUUGCAUGUCGGCUCUCAGUGUUUUAACCUAUUUUGGUAAAUUUCCUUAUGUUUUUUUGUACAUUACAAGCUUUUCAUAUCUCAUUUCAGACUUAUGAUACUAGCAAUAUUCUAUUGUCAAAAACUCUCUCUCAAACUCGUCCUGAAGAAGCCGCUAGGCGAAACGCAUAGGCGAGACGAAAGAUAAUAUUGCCUGUGAAUGUAUAUCCUGUACUGUUUCACUGUAUUUUAUUGAAGUUAUUGUAUGUAAUAAUUUUUUGUAAUUAAAUUUAUAAUUUUUCUAAA
Molecule: long non-coding RNA, 771 nt
Organism: Rana temporaria (common frog)
Lineage: Eukaryota; Metazoa; Chordata; Amphibia; Anura; Ranidae
Exons: 4
Source: RefSeq, a predicted model, not a curated record